This 1027-nucleotide long non-coding RNA is filed under the name Androctonus crassicauda. The record is from RNAcentral. Lineage: Eukaryota; Metazoa; Arthropoda; Arachnida; Scorpiones; Buthidae.
GUAAGACAUGGGGAUUAGUUGAGUUGAUUUUGAAAAUUUGAGAAAUGUGAAAUCAGAGUUUUCUAAAUAAAAUAAUAAUGUAUACUUUAGCAUGACCAUGUUAAAUAGUCACAUUAUUAUGUCAGGAAUGAAAACAAAUAGUCCGAGAUAUAGUGUCCUAUAUUAUUAUAAUUUUACCAGUACGGAUUAGUCGGCUUCGUUAAAAAGAGCCAUAUUAUUUCUUUAUGGAAAUAUCUGUCACAUGUCACUUUGCAGGUUUUGUUACAUUCAACAUUAUGAUUAAAUAUCUCUGCUCUCGAGCCAGCUAUAUUUUUUACAUUCUCCCAAAAUACUUUCAUCAAGUUGAAAGCUUUAUUUGAGCUCUUGACUUUGCGCCAGGGUAAGUGACCCUGCUUGCCCCACUCUUGUUACGAUGCUUGUUCCAAUUCGUUGAUUCCUAGUCUUCGGUACACCAGCUGAUCCAUCAUAAAUCAAACCAACGUAUGGUAAGCUUUUAAUUGGACCACUUUUUCAUAUUAUUUAAUAUGUAAAAAAUUAAAACUUUUAAAUAAUCGACUAACUCAAGAUAAGGAUUCAAUUAAAAUCGAAUUUUCCCAACAAAUUUCUGCAAAAAAUCCUAAUUUCAUACUUCACAAAAUAUAUCUGAUAAACGUUGAAUUAACUCAUAUAUACAGAGAGAGAAAUAGACAUCAUGAAACAUAUAGUUGUUUUAAAACUAGGGGCUCUGCUUUUGAGGCCUUAUGAUCGCUAUGCCGUCGGAGAUAGCGCUCUCUGUUUAUACGGACUGAAAACGAGAAAGUUUGCAUUGAACUCCAGUCAGUUCUGUUCAGGAGCACCUAUAUAUAUAUAUAUGAAAUGUUUUAAAAUGAGCUAUCAAUUAGAAAUAAAGAUUUAUUCUUGCAUACAGGUGAAAAUAGCUGUCGAAAAUUAAAUUAAAAAAAAAAAAAUUAUAAAUUACCCAUGACUAAAGAUGUCAAAGUUUAAAAACCUAUUUCGUUUAACUAAUUUUAAAUUAAUCAAAACUGUG